UACGAAGGGGGCUAGCGUUGCUCGGAAUGACUGGGCGUAAAGGGCGCGUAGGCGGAUGGCUUUGUCGGGCGUGAAAUUCCAGGGCUUAACCUUGGGGCUGCGUUCGAGACGGGUUGUCUUGAGUGGGGAAGAGGGUCGUGGAAUUCCCAGUGUAGAGGUGAAAUUCGUAGAUAUUGGGAAGAACACCGGUGGCGAAGGCGGCGACCUGGUCCUAUACUGACGCUGAGGCGCGAAAGCGUGGGGAGCAAACAGG
This 253-nucleotide ribosomal RNA is filed under the name uncultured bacterium. RNAcentral describes it as "partial 16S ribosomal RNA". It matches the Rfam family "Bacterial small subunit ribosomal RNA", at positions 524 to 776 of the family's 1533-position model. The record is from RNAcentral.